UCUGGUGAUGAUGGCAAAGUGGUCACACCUGUUCCCAUUUCGAACACAGAAGUUAAGCACUUUUACGGCGACAAUAGCUAGGCACGCUCUAGUGAAGAUAGCAAAUUGCCAGUU
RNAcentral lists this ribosomal RNA (114 nucleotides) under Breznakia pachnodae. Lineage: Bacteria; Bacillati; Bacillota; Erysipelotrichia; Erysipelotrichales; Erysipelotrichaceae. The record is from RNAcentral.